UUAGCAUAUUUGCCUGCAUUCAGCUCCUUCUUCUGGGAUUAUGUUCUAAAUAUAUUUGUUAUGAUAUUGUGUUGAUGUAUUAUCUUGUGGAAUACACAGGUCAAUAUACCUUCCCUAUCGGUUGAUUAUUUAGUUUGUUUGCAGCAUGUAAGUAUCUCCAAGUGGCACUUCCUGUCUAGAUGCCUUAAAUAGCCUUAGGCUCAAACAGCUCAGCAUGCAGCUAUCAUUUGGCCCGUGACCUCUGAGCUUUACAGAUGUUAUAUUGAACCUGCUGACCAAGCCAUAGCUGCCACUUGUUACCUGUAUGAUCACCAGUGGUCCCUUUCUAAGGAGUUCCUAUCUUGACUACCUUGUCUUUUCCAAUAUUGAGUCCAGUUUAUAAAGCUCACAGGAACGAAAAACGUGCACGUAAAAACCAUUGCUCAUCUAUGACUAGCAACAUACUGUUUUUAUGGCAUUGCUCUGAUAUCAUGACACGAUGGUAGAACAUGUAUCAGCAAUGUUUCACACAGACUAGCAACGCAUCAAUUCCUGCAUAAAUCCAAUAAAUUAGAAGAAAAGAAAAAAACACAGCAUCACGAGCUCCAUCAGUACUCACUGAAGAUUGAUAGUGUGACAGUCAGUCUGGAAAGUUGAUAGCUCUGCUCAAGAGACUUAUACACUGUUCAUAAAGCAUCAACCAGUA
Molecule: long non-coding RNA, 685 nt
Organism: Pseudophryne corroboree (corroboree frog)
Lineage: Eukaryota; Metazoa; Chordata; Amphibia; Anura; Myobatrachidae
Exons: 4
Source: RefSeq, a predicted model, not a curated record